This 67-nucleotide transfer RNA is filed under the name Rhabdopleura compacta. Its description in RNAcentral is "transfer RNA-Gln". The record is from RNAcentral. Lineage: Eukaryota; Metazoa; Hemichordata; Pterobranchia; Rhabdopleurida; Rhabdopleuridae.
CUAGAAAGAAAAAACCAAAUUUAUACCAAAGAAGCCAAACUUCUCUAUGCGAAAACACCCCUCUCUA